Molecule: small RNA, 139 nt
Filed under: Aotus nancymaae (Ma's night monkey)
Lineage: Eukaryota; Metazoa; Chordata; Mammalia; Primates; Aotidae
Description: sRNA (ENSANAG00000009105.1)
Source: RNAcentral
AUUUCCUCUGCCCUUUUCAAGAUAAUUAGUUCAGAAGGUUUAUGUUUUCAAUUUCACAUAUCCUUGCAUUUUCCUGUUCAAGUUUUGAUCCAUAUGGAUUAUCUUAAAUAUGCCUAUCAUUGCAAGUUUAUUUUAGAAG